This 468-nucleotide ribosomal RNA is filed under the name uncultured bacterium. Its description in RNAcentral is "partial 16S ribosomal RNA". It matches the Rfam family "Bacterial small subunit ribosomal RNA", at positions 28 to 507 of the family's 1533-position model. The record is from RNAcentral.
GACGAACGCUGGCGGCGUGCUUAACACAUGCAAGUCGAACGGAAAGGCCCUGCUUUUGUGGGGUGCUCGAGUGGCGAACGGGUGGGUAACACGUGAGUAACCUGCCCUUGACUUUGAGAUAACUUCAGGAAACUGGGGCUAAUACCGGAUAGGAGCUCCUGCUGCAUGGUGGGGGUUGGAAAGUUUCGGCGGUUGGGGAUGGACUCGCGGCUUAUCAGCUUGUUGGUGGGGUAGUGGCUUACCAAGGCUUUGACGGGUAGCCGGCCUGAGAGGGUGACCGGCCACAUUGGGACUGAGAUACGGCCCAGACUCCUACGGGAGGCAGCAGUGGGGAAUAUUGCACAAUGGGCGGAAGCCUGAUGCAGCAACGCCGCGUGCGGGAUGACGGCCUUCGGGUUGUAAACCGCUUUCGCCUGUGACGAAGCGUGAGUGACGGUAAUGGGUAAAGAAGCACCGGCUAACUACGUG